AAGUCGUAACAAGGUUUCCGUAGGUGAACCUGCGGAAGGAUCAUUAAAGUAAUACGCAUUGUGAGGAAAGUGCAAAAAGCACUGGAUCCAAUGUUGUAUACAAUCACCUGUUUACCUGUACCUGUUGCUUCCGUGGAAUUAAGGGUGCUCUUCCUGUUCGCAGGCUCGAGUUACCUUCCACGAAAGGACCUUAAAAAAAAAUUGUUUUGUAUUAUUGUCUGAUCUAAAAAUUUUAAUAAAAGUUAAAACUUUCAACAACGGAUCUCUAGGUUCUC
Molecule: unclassified non-coding RNA, 275 nt
Filed under: Ascobolus sp.
Lineage: Eukaryota; Fungi; Ascomycota; Pezizomycetes; Pezizales; Ascobolaceae
Description: partial internal transcribed spacer region
Rfam family: Eukaryotic small subunit ribosomal RNA (bases 1-46)
Source: RNAcentral